This 402-nucleotide ribosomal RNA is filed under the name uncultured prokaryote. RNAcentral's name for it is "bacterial SSU rRNA". It matches the Rfam family "Bacterial small subunit ribosomal RNA", at positions 355 to 774 of the family's 1533-position model. The record is from RNAcentral.
UAAGGAAUAUUGGUAAUCUGGGAAACCGGGAACCAGCAACGCCGCGUGUGCGAUGAAGGCCUUCGGGUUGUAAAGCACUUUUUGAGGGGAUGAGGAAGGACAGUACCCUCAGAAUAAGCCUCGGCUAACUACGUGCCAGCAGCCGCGGUAACACGUAGGAGGCGAGCGUUAUUCGGCUUUACUGGGCGUAAAGCGCGUGCAGGCGGCUCGAUAAGUUGGAUGUGAAAGCUCCCGGCUUAACUGGGAGAGGUCGUUCAAUACUGUCGGACUAGAGGAUGAGAGAGGGAGGUGGAAUUCCGCGUGUAGUGGUGGAAUGCGUAGAUAUUCGGAGGAACACCAGUUGCGAAAGCGGCCUCCUGGAUCAUAUCUGACGCUCAGGCGCGAAAGCUGGGGUAGCAAACG